Solenopsis invicta (red fire ant) is the source of this 1998-nucleotide RNA transcript. It is a transcript of the gene named putative protein TPRXL, with no coding region annotated. The record is from RefSeq and is a predicted model, not a curated record. Lineage: Eukaryota; Metazoa; Arthropoda; Insecta; Hymenoptera; Formicidae. The transcript has 2 exons.
GGGGAUUCAUGUAUAAAAGCUUUCUUCUGGCUAGCAAUGGCCACAGAGACCACCAUAUUCGUUCAACCACUUGACCGCCACCAGAUUACAGGAGAUACGAGAACAACCCCAUUUCAGCAUGCGCUACAUUGUGUUUCUGGUGGCUUUUGCCUAUGGGGUCUGCUGCGAUGAAAACCUGCCGUCUCAGUUUCUAUUGCAACUAAAGAACAAACGCGGCAUCAACGACCACUCGCUGACUUUUCCGUCGGAAUCUUCCUCCUAUUCAACGCCUGUUCACUCGAGCCUUAGUUCCGGUUACGGGCUAGGUGGAUCGUCCGGUGGCUUCUCCCUAGGGCAUGCCGGAGCACUUCUCAACUCAGGCGGCUCCGUCGGGCACGGAAUUGGAUAUCCUUUAGCGUCGUCCGGUAGCCUCGGUCUCGGAUACCAAUCGCCAGGACUGAGCCACGGCCCCUUGAGUCACCAGAGUGUCUCUUUGGGCGGACACUCGGCUCAAAGCACCUACUCGGUGCCCAGCAUAGCGAAUUUGGGAAGCGGCGGCAGUAGCAACGGGCUUUUCGCGCCGUCGAAAACUGGUCCCGUUACCUUCGGAAUCCACGGUGGCGGCGGUAGCGGCAGCACUUCCGGUUCUAGCUCGUAUAGAGCGCCGGUCUAUGCUUCCGGCGGACACAGACUCUCGUCUUACAGCAACGGAGAAUCAUCGAACUCUCUUGGUUUUCAGAUCGUGUUGGGUGGCUCCUCGGGUACCUCGUCAAGCUACAAUCUUCCUACUCACUCCGCAACCUCGAGUCCUUCGCAUUCCGUGACGGGUGGCCUGGUUAUCGCCGGUUCACACGGCGGUUCCCCCAGCAGCUCCUACAGUCUCCCAACAUCCGCAUCCUCUCACGGCAUUUCCACUCUUGGCGGCUCUUCAAACGCUCACAGUACGCCAUCUUCGUUUACCUAUCCGAUUAACUCUGGAUCUCACGAAAUCUCUACGUUGUCUGGCGAUGGAUCCUCCGGUUAUGCCAGCCCCUCAGGAUCCUAUGGCUCCUCCAGCACUCACCCCGGAUUCUCCGGCGUGUCGUCCGGCGGUUCCAGUUACCAGCUACCGAUCUCUUCGGGAUCUCACUCAGGAUCGGCCAAUGGCGUCACAUACACGACUUACGUGCCGUCCCAUUCGUCUGGUAACAGUGCCAGCUACUCCAGCCCCAGCGUCUCUUACGCGACUCCAAAUGUCAACCACGCAGGAUCUAUUGGGCCCAGUUACUCCAACGCCGAUGUCAGCUAUUCCCUCAGUGUGAACCACGUGGGUUCCAGUUCCAGCCCCAUCACAGCUUAUACCGGAAAUCGCGGAUAUACUCCCACGUAUUACAGUUCGCCCAGUUCUCAUGGGGCACUCGCGGAUUCUCAUGGAUCUUACGCCAGCGUAAGCCCGAAAUAUGUCGGAUACGUUCCUGGGACGAAGUUUUACCAUGCGGACGCGGAUAGCGCAAAGUAUGACACGAUCUCGUACUCGGUUCCAUUCGGAAAAUAUUAAUUUAUGUAAUUUUGUAAAUUUCUUUACAAUUUUCUUACGUCGCAUUGCUAGGAUUCGAUAACAGCUUACGAUUUUAUUAUUAAUUACAAGGCCCGUGUUCGGGUCUCGUGACAAACGGGCGAUUCAACUCCGAAUGCGUCGUAAAUAUGAGAUUGUCUAAUUACUUAAUCUUAUGCUGACUCGAUCUUGCCAUGAGAAAUGGUAGUGUCCCAAAGUAGUUCACGUAUGUUGUUGAGAAUAAAAAUAGUGAAUUAUUUAUAUUUAAAUUUUUUUUUACCGUACGAUUUAUAUAGAGACAGAAAUCUGUACUGCAAUCGUACCGAAAUACCGAACUGUUAUCUAUAUUUAUAUCAUUGACAAAUGUUGUAGAAUAUUCCUUUCUUUGUUAUCUCUUGUAUCACUGACAAUUGUGAUAUUGUUACAUAAUUUUAUAUUUUCUUUUGUAAUAAAUGAGUUGAUUUUCCAACGCACACACCAGAAAA